This 417-nucleotide ribosomal RNA is filed under the name Bacillus sp. A-R-D-16(5)-4. RNAcentral describes it as "bacterial SSU rRNA". It matches the Rfam family "Bacterial small subunit ribosomal RNA", at positions 406 to 812 of the family's 1533-position model. Lineage: Bacteria; Bacillati; Bacillota; Bacilli; Caryophanales; Bacillaceae. The record is from RNAcentral.
UGAAGAAGGUUUUCGGAUUCGUAAAAACUCUGUUUGUAAGGGAAGAACANGUACAGUAGUAACUGGCUGUACCUUGACGGUACCUUAUUAGAAAGCCACGGCUAACUACGUGCCAGCAGCCGCGGUAAUACGUAGGUGGCAAGCGUUGUCCGGAAUUAUUGGGCGUAAAGCGCGCGCAGGCGGUCCUUUAAGUCUGAUGUGAAAGCCCACGGCUCAACCGUGGAGGGUCAUUGGAAACUGGGGGACUUGAGUGCAGAAGAGGAAAGUGGAAUUCCAAGUGUAGCGGUGAAAUGCGUAGAGAUUUGGAGGAACACCAGUGGCGAAGGCGACUUUCUGGUCUGUAACUGACGCUGAGGCGCGAAAGCGUGGGGAGCAAACAGGAUUAGAUACCCUGGUAGUCCACGCCGUAAACGAUGA